This 224-nucleotide small RNA is filed under the name Pseudomonas sp. GV047. RNAcentral describes it as "Pseudomonas sRNA P17". It matches the Rfam family "Pseudomonas sRNA P17", at positions 1 to 214 of the family's 282-position model. Lineage: Bacteria; Pseudomonadati; Pseudomonadota; Gammaproteobacteria; Pseudomonadales; Pseudomonadaceae. The record is from RNAcentral.
GUAAAGAACAAGUGGCACGUUCCAGUGACUAUCUCGAUGGGCAAUUGACCUUUCGCGAACGUCUGCUGGUGCGUCAUCACUUGAUGUUCUGCCCCAACUGCCGACGGUUUAUCCGCCAGAUGCGCCUGCUGCAGGCGACGUUGCGGAUGCUGCCGCAGGAACCGGUGAAGGGUGUGGAUGCCUUGGCGCAGCGGCUGGCUGCCGAGCGGCUCAAGGAUCAGAAA